CCUACGGGGGGCAGCAGUGAGGAAUAUUGGUCAAUGGACGAGAGUCUGAACCAACCAAGCAGCGUGAAGGAUGACUGCUCUAUGGGUUGUAAACUUCUUUUAUAAAGGAAUAAAACGAGGCACGUGUGCCGUUUUGAAUGUACUUUAUGAAUAAGGAUCGGCUAACUCCGUGCCAGCAGCCGCGGUAAUACGGAGGAUCCGAGCGUUAUCCGGAUUUAUUGGGUUUAAAGGGAGCGUAGAUGGGUUGUUAAGUCAGUGGUGAAAGUUUGCGGAUCAACUGUAAAAUUGCAAUUGAUACUGGCAGUCUAGAGUACAGUUGAGGUAGGCGGAAUUCGUGGUGUAGCGGUGAAAUGCAUAGAGAUCACGCAGAACCCCGAUUGCGAAGGCAGCUUACUAAACUGUGACUGACGUUGAGGCUCGAAAGUGUGGGUAGCAAACAGGAUUAGAUACCCGAGUAGUC
Molecule: ribosomal RNA, 460 nt
Filed under: uncultured bacterium
Lineage: Bacteria
Description: partial 16S ribosomal RNA
Rfam family: Bacterial small subunit ribosomal RNA
Source: RNAcentral